RNAcentral lists this long non-coding RNA (15009 nucleotides) under Marmota monax (woodchuck). Lineage: Eukaryota; Metazoa; Chordata; Mammalia; Rodentia; Sciuridae. The record is from RNAcentral.
CAGUGUUCCAGGGUGGUGCAGAAAUCUUCAAGUACGUGCAUGGCUUCAUCACUGGUGUCCCUAGCGUUGGUCUGUUUUCUAAAAGUUGUUGCUGCUGCAUGGACUCAUUCAGCUCACGUAGGACUGCAUACUUCUUUCAUAACAAAUCAUUCAACAUGCUGAGUCAGAUCCUCUUUAACCAAAGGGCUCAUGCUCUUUGGUGAUCACAGAUAAAUGUAUGAUUGAUGCAAGUCACUUCCAGGAACUCCUGACAAGCCCAUCAAUGACACUAACUAUUGUCUGAGGUGGAGGACAUUCAAGACCUUUUGCCAUAUAGAUAACAUCAAGAAUUCUGUAAGUUUCUUCAGUUUCCAAGAGGUUAAUUUAUGGCAGCUUCAUUCCAGGGCUUAAUUUAAGUCUUUUACCACGCUGAAUCUCUGGAAGGGUAGAGUGAAGUCAGUGUUGUAGAACUGACCCUCUGGGCCAUGUAGGUGGGAGGCAACCUUUAACCACUGGUAAUGUGACUCAUUAUUCCACUGAAACUGUCUUCUCUGUGGUUUCCAGGAGACUGUCAUAGUCUGUGUAGAACUCACAGAUGGUAAACUCAGGAUCGUGGGUCAAAACAAUUCCUUCAUUCUGGAAGUGGUGUCCAAUGUCAUAAACCUGGUCAAUGCCAAAAGCACAUUAUGGUAAAGUUCUGGGGGCAAUUGUCUUACAUAAGUUCAUGUCUUAUUUUUUUGUGAUAAGAGAGGAAAAGCUUGGUCACAGCUCCCCCCCACCCUAGGAUGAUGUUCAUUUUAUAAAUUCUAAUCUCUAGGAAUCCCAGAUCACCCAAGAAGCUUCUUACAUCUGUGAUGACCUUACCAUUGAUGAUAUACUUCUGCCUUAUAAAAUCAAUCAGGAUCAAGUCCAGGCGGAGGUAACAUAUGUAACCAUGGAAAGAGCAGUAUGAUCUCGUAGGGAAUGACACUCAGCUCACCAUUUUUGAUUUUCUCAGGAUUCCUCUGAAUUUUAAUCAUGUCUCCUGAUGUAAUAUUGUUAUGAAUAAAUUCUUCUUCUGAUCAAUAAUUCCUGGAAUUCACCAUGACUUGCAACUUGACCUGUCUCCUCUGCAGGUCAUAGAAGAUGAGCUUUCCCCCACAAGCUCUUUUGGCCUGCGUCCUCCCUGCCACCUUUAAGGCAAUGUCAGCCAGGUAGCUCCCAGGCUGCAGGUAACUGUACCCUUGGAUGAAGUGAGUGAGCAAGAUGUCUACAUGGAACUGCGUGGGUCUCAGUCUUCCCUAUUCAGCUGGUGGACAGCUUGACUGCAGAUCUUGUAGCAUUGAUUCACACCCACACCACUCUCGGUGGUGGGGCUUGUGGAAGCAGCCUUGCCAGGAUUGCAGCCAUCCCGGCUUAGCUAUUUCUCAGUGAGAUUUUUCUGAUUGGCCCCUUCUCAGCCACUUUCCUCUCAGCUCUCAGGUGUCUCUUUUGUUUAUUCUUGCUCAGUUUCAUUUUGCAGACAUCUGCUUUCACUUCGGUCCUGGGCUGCUGCUGUCUUCCUGGACAGGCUCACCCAAAAGAUUGAAAGUAUUCAUCUUAACAACUAGUGUAACAGCACCAUAUGAUAGUUGGAUAGUUGGUCAUUGGCUGUAUCUUCAGGCUGACCAUUCCUAGUGUAGGUAUAAUGACCACAGAACCAUCUCUCUAGCUUCUGUUCUGUUGGGUAAGUGGGCUGCCUCUAGUUUUAACUGCAAUAUUAAGUUCAGUUCUAAGCAUUUUUGUGUGCACCUUUGUUUCUUUUUUUGGGGGGGGGGUACUGGGGAGUGAACUCAAGGGGCACUUGACCACUGAGCCACAUCCCCAGCCCUAUUUUGUAUUUUAUUUAGAGACAGGGCCUCACUGAACUCAUGAUCCUCCUGCCUCAGCCUCCCAAGCCACUAGGAUUACAGGCAUGUGCCACCUUACCUGGCUUCAUUUUUAUAUUUAAUAAACUUAUAUUUCCUGUUUUUAUGUGUUUCCUUGGAACAUAUCUCUAAAGUAUUUUCUAAGGUCAAAGGUUAUUGUCAAUUUUACCAUUUAACAAGGUGAUGUAAAAAGCAUGUAAUCAUAGGUUCAGAAACACUCUUGUCCAUAUUUUCAUAGACUACUGAUGCUGGAGAGCUAGGAGGCAGCAUGGUCUAGUGGAGAGAGGGUGGGCAUUUAGGCAUUGAUCAGGGAGAGCUGUGUUCAGGUCUGAGCAGUAUUACCUGGGUAAGAAGUAGGGGCUUGGCAGUCACCCAGCCUCUGUGAAGUUUCUAGCUAUAAAAUGGGAGAGAGGCCAUUGCUCAUAACACCAGGCAAAGCAGGCAUCAGUUACAUACAUCUGUUCCUGACUUUGGCCUGAAGCCUUGGUCAUCUUUGUUACACUCUCAGCCGGCCCAUUUUUGCAGAAGGUGGACUGGGUAACAGGAGUUGAACAAUGAACUAUUAAAUUGUGUUCUGGGCUGUGCACAGUGGCAUAUGCCUGUAAUCCCAGUGAUUUGGGAGGCUGAGACAGGAGGAUCAUAAGUUCAAGGCCAGCCUUAGCAAUUUAGCAAGGCCCAGCAUAACUUAGCAAUUUAGCAAGGCCCAGUCUCAAAAUAAAAAAUAAAAUGGCUGGGAAUGUGGCUCAGUGGUAAAGUACCCCGGCGUUCAAAUCCUCAGUACCCUUUGCCACUCCCCCAAAAGUGUUCUACAUCUUAGGAGGUGUGCAUACUGCCACCUUCUGGUGUGAAGAGUUAGUGUAGAGAUGAUCCAGGGAUCAAGCUACUUCUCAUUGUGUCCCUGUGAGGAUCUGCCCCAGGGUGAUGCUGUAGGAGAAAGAGGGGGAGGUCCUCUCCACCCAGCCUGACAGCUUCUAUCUAGAUGAUGUCCUCCUUCUGCUGAUGAAAUUCUGGAGACAGGAAGAUACUGAGUUUCCAAAGCCUACUUGUAAAUGAUGGUGUAUUUUUGGCUCUGAAGACUGUGGAGGUGUUGGCAAAGGAUGUCUUUGCAAAAUGAGGUGUCUUUAUCAGUGUUUAUUAAACCCUUCAGAGAGGUUGACUGUAGUGGUAAGUUAGUCCAUAGAUCUUUACAGCACCUAGAAUGUGCCAGAUACAUGCUUUGAUACACAUCAUUGAAUUAUGGAGGGUUCCUGCCUCUUUCUCAUUGUCUAGAGGGGAUGUUUGUUGAUAAGAUUAUCUAUCUAUUUAUUUAUUUACUUACUUACUUAUUUUUGUGAUACUGGGAUUGAACCCAGGGGCACUCUGCCAUUGAGUCACACCCUCAGAACCCCCCACUACUUUUAAAUCUUUGAGACAGAGUCUUACUAAGUUGUCCAGGCUGGUCUUGAACACAUAAUCUUCCUGCCUCAGCCUCCCCAGUUGCUGGGAUUACAGGCAUGUGCCACCAUACCUGGUGAGAUUAAUUAUUUUAAAAUUGACAUAGUUUCUUUUAUUUAUUUAAUUGAAGACAAAAAUUGUAUCUAAACAGAACAUUAAAAAAUAGUUUAAAGCACAAUAUGUUGCCUCUCAAGUACAAUAGCCAUUUUUUUCUCAGUAGAUUCUAGCCCUUGUACACUGGUAUGAAGAUUUUUACAGAGCUAUAACCAUAAUACAUAUAUUAUCCUGAAGUUCGUUAUAUUUUACUUGUUAUAAACAUCUCUCUAUAUUGCUACUUAAUCUUCAUAAUUAUCCUUAUAGCUAUGUAUGAGGCAAAUGUAUGACUGAAUCAAAAUCUUUGUAGCAAUUCUCUUAAGUUUAGUUUUUUUCUAUAAUAGACACUGCUUAUAUUAACUUCUUUAUGCACAUCUUUAUUGCACUACUUCUCAAUAAUCAUAAAUAUGGUUCUUCCUAUGUGUUGCUAUAUUGUUUCCCAAAAGAACUAUUAUGAAUUUACAAUGCCACCAAAAUUAUGUCAGUUAGUUUGGUUGCAGCCCUGGGUGUCUUGAAUAUUGUUGCUGUAAAACAUUUUUGAGAAUUAAUAUUUUAAAUGGGAUCCUAGAUUUGCUUUCAUCUGUAUUUCUUUGAAUACCAGUAGGCAGUUUCCUUUUCACAUGUGCAGUAUUUAUAAUUGCUUCUGCAUGAGAACUCUGUUUAUAUUGUGGUUAAAAAUGUGAAUGGGACCCUUGUUGUACGUCUUUUCUUAAAAGAGAGAAAAGCAAUAGAAAUUGCAUUAUUACAGCUCAGAGGGUCAGAAUGGUACUUAACUGUUUUAUUCGUUGGGUUAACAAUGCCUUCUGGAAUCUUCCCAAGAAUGCCCCAGUGUUCUAAGAUCUAGAGUGCAAGUCUAUUCUCCUGCCCAGAACUACUGAGAAAAGUGAUUCUACAACACCCUUAGUGUGCUUGACUCAAUAAAGGAAAUGACAUGAUUCCCCAGUAUGUAUGAGAGAGUUGGACAGCAGCCUAGGUUAUAAAAAUGCAAAUUAAGAUUAUGUGAUUGGAGAGUUAAUUGGUUUCCUAGUGACUCUGAAGAAUACAGAGUGUCCUUGAGUGUCUCAGUUGGAAGGGUCCUACCCACAAAAGGGAAAUGACUUCCACUGAAGAUCACACAGCAAACUAGAGGAGGGCUGGAACCCUGCCUCCAGAUUCCCCUGAAACUUUCAUCUGUCCUGAAGGUAAACGUGAAUGAAUCUACUAUUUCCCCUUUAAGGCUUCCUCUUCUCUGCAACCCUCCUACCCAACUCCCAUACCCUGCCUCCUCCUAGCCUGGAUGAUACUAGAGCACCUCGGAAGACUUCCUGUGUUGGGAGUCUGUUUCCUUUUCCUAGGUUCAAAGUACUGUACCACAAAGUGUCUGUCCAUUAGCUAAAAUAUUGUGUCAAUGCACGAGUUUUUCUUUUGCAAGAAGACUGCAAGUGUUAGAAACAGCCCAUGAAGAUGGAAGAUCUUGACUCUCAGUAAGGCUUUUUGGUUCAAUACCUCACUACUAUUUUCUGGGAUGAUUAGAUGAAAAAGGGAAUUAACAUUUGGUUAAUUAGGUAGUGCCUACCACAUAGUAUGGUAAGAGGCACUACCUAAUGGAAUUUCUUUAAAACACAUGAAGUGACAAAUUUGGAAAUAGCUCCUAGAGUUUAACUAAUUGAUCAGCUCCCAUUGCUAUGAUGUCAUUAUGUUAUUGGUUUUGGAGUAGCCAAUCAGCUUUGCAAACUAUUCAUGUACAUGUCCCACUGAGGAUACCUACACCCUCUGAUGCUAUUUGUAGGAUUUUUGUGCCAGUUUUGCCACCCACAGAUGUUUCAAUCUGGACAAAUGUCAACAGCCUAGGGUCAAGUCUAGAAGGAAGCAGAAAGUCAGGUACAAUAGUGCAUACCUAUAAUCUAUUACUUGGAGGCUGAGGUAGGAAGAACACUUGAGCUCUUUUGAGAUAAGUUUUGGUAACAUAGUGACACUACGUCUCAGAAAAUAAAUUUAAAAAAAUAAAGAAACCCAUUUACAUAGAAUGCAGCAAAGCUAAGGAAAAUAACAUCUGGAAAAAUUCCUUGGGGAAAAAGAAAUAGAAGAAUCCUAAAAAUUGAGACAAAGAUCAUAACUCAAGACAAGAGAAACAAGAGUCUUGGUGGGUGGGAGAAUGUAAGGCCAUAGGUCCUAGGGUGUUGACCAAUUCCCAGGAAGGUUGGGGGACCCUGCAGGGUUUGGGGCACAGGGGUGGUACUUGUAGCAGAAUCUCAUUGGCUCUCUUGGUUUUUUUAUCUUUAAAAUAGGCAUACAAAUAAGCUUCUCUGGCCAUCUCUCAGUGGGGUUAUGGGAACUGAUUCAGUUAACUCAUAAGAACAUGCUUUUAUAAAAUGUGAAAUCCUAUGCAAAUGUCACAGAAGGACUAUCAGUUAGUUACAGCAGUACAAUCUAAUUCAUUAUCCAGAAUUUCAGCUACUCAACUUGUUCCUGGCUGUGUUUUAUUGACAAGGCAGCAUUUGAUAUCCAUUGAGACUCUGCAAAUUAAAGCCUGACUCAGAGUAAGCCCUUGGAAUUCAUGCCUCUCCUGACCCCUGACUUAUUACCUUGACUUUUCUCUACCCUCAGAACAACUAGGAUAGAUUUCAGCUGCACAGCAAAAAAAACAAAACAAACAAAACAAAUGAACAAACAAAAUAAAACCCUUCUCAUAGCAGUCUGCCCAUCCUUUGAAAAACUUAGCUUUUAAUCUUAAAAAAAGUUUUGGGCUGAAAGUUCAUUCAUAAAAGGAUAUAUCUAAGGCUAGGGUUGUGGCUCAGUGGUAGAGCGCCUUGUCUAGCAUGUGUGAGGCACUGGGUUCGAUCCUCAACAUCACAUAAAAAUAAAUACAAAAGAUAAAGGUAUUAUGUCCAUCUACAACUAAAAAAAUAAAAUAAAACUAAAAACAAAAGAAUAUAUGUAAAAGCUGGGUGAGGUGGAACAGGCCCAUAGUCCCAGAUACUCAGGAGGCUGAGGUAGGAGGAUGGCAAGUUUGAAGCCAGACCUAGCAUCUUAGUGAGACCCUUAGUAACUUAAUGAGACCCUGUCUCAAAAUAAAACAUAAAGGACUGGGGAUGUGGGUCAGUGGUACAGCAUAUACCACACACACACACACACACACACACACACACACAUACACACACAAAGUAAGAACUAUAAUUUUAAAAAUAAUAAUAAAACACCACACAAUAAACUUCAGAAAAAACAUUACUAGUGUCUGCAAAGCCCCAUAUAUCUUUCCCUGAUGCAUUCCCUUUACUCUCCUAUCUUCUACUUUGUAUUAAUCUUCAUACAUAAAAUAAUCCUUAAUAUUAUUCUUAAUAUAUAUAUAUUAUCCUUAACAACGUAUUAUUUAGCUUUUUCUGUCUCUGAACUUUUAUAAAGGGGAGAAGUGGUAAGUAUUCUUGUUCAACUUAGGUGUUUUUUUUUUUUUUUGCAUCUGCAAUUUUCCUACAUGGAUGGAUGCAGUUGUAGUUCAUUCAUUUUGAAGACAUAUAGUAUUCCAUUGUGAGAAUGUGCUAUAAAAAUUAUUUAUCCAUCGUAUAGUGAAUGGGCAUUUCAGUUACUUCCAGCUUGAGACAGUUAUAAAUGAUGUGUUUUUAUGUCACCUGUUGUAUUUGUAUAAAAGUUAAUGUUUAUCUAGAAGUGGAAUUACCUGAUCAUAAGGUAUGCAUGUCUUCAAUUUUAUCAGAUAAGGCCAACCGGUCCAAGUGGUUUAACAAUCACCAAUAGUAUAGGAGAAUUUCCAUUGUUCUACUUUCCUGCCCUUACUUGACAUUAGGCAAUGCUUUAUUUUUAAAUUUCUGCCAACCUAGGAGGCCAUGGACUUGUGUAUCUCAUUUUGGUUGUAGUUUGCACUUCCCUUUUAUUAAGGAGGUUGGGCAUCUUUUCAUGUUUGUGGUCCUUUUGUGUUUCUUCAUCUCUGAAAUGUCUGUUUGUCUCUUUUUUAAACAAUAGGCUAAUCUUAUUGAUUGGCAGCUCUUUAAAGAUUCUAGGCACCAACUUUUUGCCAGUUUUAUGCGUUACAAUUAUCUUCUUUCUGUCUCUGGAUUGUCUUCUCAUUCUAUACAAUGUUUUUGUUGAACAGAGUUCUUUAGUGAAAUUGACUUCAACCUUUUCCUUUAUCUUCUUCUUUCACUUUUGGUGUCAUGUUUAAGACAUGAUUUAUCUUUUUCUUUGCCUGAGAUUCUAAAGAUCAUUUCCUGAAUUCUCUUCCAAAUAUUACUAGUGCCUGCAAAGCCGCCUUUUGAGGAGACAUAAACAAAAUUUGAAAAAUUCCAAAAGUCUUUCUUAGGACUGUUCUGUCUGUUCCUGAAUCUUUCCACAAAACAGUUCUGGAAGUCCGAGAUUAUUUCUAUUCCAAUGGGCCUCCUCUCCUCACAGAAAGCUUUGAGUUCUGCCAAAUGCCAAGAGACAAACUAUUCAAGCCCAGGCUCAGCAAUCCCGGACUGCACGUCCCUGCUUGGCACAGCGCGCGACCCCCAGGGGGCGCCCUCGCAUCACACGUGCAAUUCCCCACAGAGGCUGCAUCCAGGGCUCCCCUGUGCCCAGGGCUGCAUAGGGCGACCUGGACUCCCUGCAGGAGGCAGAGGCAGCAUGAGUGCAGCCAGGCCGGUGCCUCUGGCCCUCACUAGUCUCAUCCUGCCACCGACCUGCUGAAGCUAGGGUCCCUCUUGUUUUUCUAGCCCUUUCAAAUCUGCCCUCCCACCUCUUGCUCUGUGUCCAUUCAAGGAAUUCUCCUGAUUCCUCCUUGUCUUUUGGGGAACCCUCCCUGACAUUAUUUUAUAGGUCAGAUGUUGCUAAGGUUUAAACCUACCCCAAACCACUGUGGCAUACAGCUGAUGUAACUACAAGGCUCCCCAAAGGAUCAGAGCACUAGGGAAUCAAUCACAGAUGGUAUACAGAUACACUAAGGAAGGGCAAGAGAGCUCUUUGCCUGUUUGGUGUUUGAUUUUGCCUUUUCAAUCACUUAACAGUAGGAUUGUUUCCUUUUGCCUCCAUUUUCUUUUAAGACUGAGUUAAUAUCAUUGUCUUACAGUUUUUGUAAGGAUAAAAUAGGGAAGGUUCACCGUGCCUGGAACAUAACAGGGACCCACAAAUAUUGGUUUUCCUGUAUCUUAGCUUGAGCUCCCCAGAAAACAGAGCCUGAAGUCAAGCUUCAAAUCCAGUGCUUUUUUUGGUGGCAUCAUCUCAGGGAAGCAAGAUUGAAGGGAAAGGAGACCAGAGGAAGGGAGGAAGAGAGAGCAGAUCCCAGGCUGUGCUGACCUUAGCAGGUUCCAAGGCCAUGGGUAUGGCAUCCCUGUAGCAGAGGAGGGCACUUUACCUCCAGUGUCUUCCCACCACUUCUCUCAUUAGUCAGGGUUUUAACUGUGGUGUGUUAGUUCCCUGCAUUCUGAGCUGUUACCCCUGCUCCCUGGAGGCCCUCUGGACAAGUCAAGGCCUCUGUGGGAAGGGCUGGCUCAGGCCUAGGUGGCCUGAGUUGCUGUGAUUCCUGCUGCAUGCAGUGGGAGAAGGGAAGCUAUGUCAAACCCUGGCCCUUGUCCUCAGGGGAGGUUGAGGCGAAUGCAGUAUUAGCAGAUGGAGUGAUGGUGCUAGGGCCCUAUGACCUCAGAAACAGCUUGAGCUACUGCUAAGACUCCUUUGUUAGAGAAAGCAGGGUGGGGCCUGGGGACAGGGCAGCCAGGUGGGCUAAGUAGAUCUCUGGCAGUAUAUAGACUGAAUCUCAUACACUUCUCCCUUUCCUUGUGUUUAUGCGAGCUCUGCUUCCCAGCACAUCUAACACUGGGCACAUUCACAUUCACUGAAUAUCAAAAGGGCACAGAAAUGAAUGAAGCAUGCCUGAAGUUGAUGAUUUCAUUCAUGAAGCAAAUAUUGUAUUCUUUUUUUUAUGAGAGAGAGAGAGAGAAUUUUUAAUAUUUAUUUUUUUAGUUUUUGGCGGACACAACAUCUUUCUUUGUAUGUGGUGCUGAGGAUCGAACCCGGGCCGCACACAUGCCAGGCGAGUGCGCUACCGCUUGAGCCACAUCCUCAGCCCGCAAAUAUUGUAUUUCAGAAGGAUCGGGUGUUCUUAGGUCUUGUUCUGUGCUGGAUGCUUUGGAAAGUUAUGUUAAUCAGGGCAAGUUAGUGAAGGGGUUAGGGUUUUUUUUUUUUUUUUUUUAUAAAAUACCAGAUAGGAUUAGGAAAUAGAGGAAAUAGAAGAAACCAUCAAAAGACUACCAACUAAGAAAAGCCCAUGACCGGAUGGGUAUACAGCAGAGUUUUACAAAACCUUUAAAGAGGAACUAAUACCAAUACUUUUCAAGCUACUUCAGGAAAUAGAAAAAGAGGGAGAACUUCCAAAUUCAUUCUACGAGGCCAACAUCACCCUGAUACCUAAACCAGACAAAGACACUUCAAAGAAAGAAAACUACAGACCAAUAUCUCUAAUGAACCUAGAUGCAAAAAUCCUCAAUAAAAUUCUGGCGAAUCGGAUACAAAAACAUAUCAAAAAAAUUGUGCACCAUGAUCAAGUAGGAUUCAUCCCUGGGAUGCAAGGCUGGUUCAAUAUACGGAAAUCAAUAAAUGUUAUUCACCACAUCAAUAGACUUAAAAAUAAGAACCAUAUGAUCAUCUCGAUAGAUGCGGAAAAAGCAUUCGACAAAGUACAGCAUCCCUUUAUGUUCAAAACUCUAGAAAAACUAGGGAUAACAGGAACAUACCUCAAUAUUGUAAAAGCAAUCUAUGCUAAGCCUCAGGCUAGCAUCAUUCUGAAUGGAGAAAAAUUGAAGGCAUUCCCUCUAAAAUCUGGAACAAGACAGGGAUGCCCUCUCUCUCCACUUCUGUUCAACAUAGUUCUCGAAACACUGGCCAGAGCAAUUAGACAGACGAAAGAAAUUAAAGGCAUAAAAAUAGGAAAAGAAGAACUGAAAUUAUCACUAUGGGCAUUUAUAAACAAUGGAGUAUUACUCUGCAUUAAAAAAUGACAAAAUCAUAGAAUUUGCAGGGAAAUGGAUGGCAUUAGAGCAGAUUAUGCUAAGUGAAGCUAGCCAAUCCCUAAAAAACAAAUGCCAAAUGUCUUCUUUGAUAUAAGGAGAGUAACUAAGAACAGAGUAGGGACGAAGAGCAGGAGAAGAAGAUUAACAUUAAACAGGGAUGAGAGGUGGGAGGGAAAGGGAGAGAGAAGGGAAAUUGCAUGGAAAUGGAAGGAGACCCUCAGGGUUAUACAAAAGUACAUACAAGAGGAAGUGAGGGGAAAGGGAAAAAUAAUACAAGGGGGAGAAAUGAAUGACAGUAGAGGGGGUAGAGAGAGAAGAGGGGAGGGGAGGGGAGGGGGGAUAGUAGAGGAUAGGAAAGGCAGCAGAACACAACAGACACUAGUAUGGCAAUAUGUAAAUCAAUGGAUGUGUAACUGAUGUGAUUCUGCAAUCUGUAUAUGGGGUAAAAAUGGGAGUUCAUAACCCACUUGAAUCAAAGUGUGAAAUAUGAUAUAUCAAGAAAUUUGUAAUGUUUUGAACAACCAACAAUAAAAAAAAUUUAAAAAAACCUGUAAGAAAAAAUAAAAUAAAAUAAAAUACCAGAUAGGAUUUAUGCUUUGUAGGCUACAUGCAACUCUGUAUUCCUCUUAUUUUCUUUACAUACCUUUGAAAAUGUAAAAAACAAUUAUCCUGCAAGUCAUAAAAAGCAGGUUGGAUGCCCAUGGGUUAGACUAUUUUGAACCAAGAAGAUCCCAGUUGAAGUGGCUUAACAUGUAAAAGGUUUAUUCUUGCUCACAUCACUGUCCAGUGCAGGUCAGUGGCCCUCCAGAGCAGCUUUAAUCUGUGUGGUAACUUAGGGAUACAGGAUGCCUUCAUCUUCUCAGGUCACCAUCUAUGCCAUCCCGAUUUUUUUUUUUUUUUGUACUGUAGAUUGAACUCAGGGACAGUUAACCACUGAGCCACAUCCCCAGCCCUAUUUUGUAUUUUAUUUAGAGACAGGAUCUCACUGAAUUGCUUAGCACCUUAGCUGUGAACUCCCAAUCUUCCUGCCUCAGCCUCCUGAGCCACUGGGAUUACAGGCAUGUGCUACCAUGCCCAGCUCCCAGCCCAUUCUUUUUUUUAUUCUUAGAUUUAUUUUCCAAAAUGCAAUUUAUAUGUUCUUAUAUGUAAAAAGCAACCUUAAUUACAACAUGAAAUAACCAUAUUAUUUGCUUUCUCCAGUUACAAAUACAUAUAAAUCUAUUAAAUGUAAUGUUAGAUGUAUGCUUUCUCUCUAUUAUGUGAUUGCUCCUCUCUUUUAAAGGUACAGGCCUUAAGGACAAGAUGGGCUCCUGGAGGCAAGUGUGUGGGGUGAACCCUAUGGACUGACUUCAGUGCCUACUGUGGGCACUGACCCUGAUCUGACCCCUGCCACUCAGCAGUGCACCUGGGGAACAUCUAGCAUGCCAAGUCCUCAUCUAGAGAGAUGCCCCAGGUUGGCAUUUUUGAAGUUCCUAAUGGGGACUUAGAGCUCAGAAUUGUGGCCACAGCAGAAGUUUUGGAAAUGCUUCUCUGUUCUUCUCCAUGUCUUGCAUGUCUAGGAACUAUCGCCAAAUCCACUUCUCUUGAUCCUCCUGGGACAGCAUAGUGAUCCAAGUUGAAUUGGGGCAAAUACUCGGUUCUCAAAUUCAAUAGAUGUGGAGGUAUGUUAAGUCUGUCUAAUGUCUAUAAGAAUUUAGUUUAGUAAUUACGUCAGAAUAUUUUUCUGCUCUCUUUAAAAGGUUUAUUUUAUUUUUUUGAGAGAUAGAGAGAGAGAGAGAGAGAGAAUUUUAGUAUUUAUUUUUUAUUUAUCAGCAGGCACAACAUCUUUGUUUGUAUGUGGUGCUGAGGAUCGAACCCGGGCUGCGCGCAUGCCAGGUGAGCGCGCUACCGCUUGAGCCACAUCCCCAGCCCACUUUAAAAGGUUUAUAUGGAAUAAGGAGAAACUAUUCUAAAGGGUAGGGAAGGUUUUUCCACAUCAAGGAUUUGUACAUCUGUCUGCAGGUUUUGUUUGGGGACUUCAUGGUGCCUAGAAUCUGAGCCCUGGAAUGAGCCGUCAGAGACAAAGCAUGCACAGAAACCCUCUUAACUGCAAAGCUUGCCUAGGCUAUUUACUCUCUAAAUAUAUCUAAACAACAUAAGAAGACCAUGGAUCUAUAACUGAAGUAUUAAGCCCCUGCAGAUAGAAACAAUUCUUAACCAAUAGAUUAAGCAUUUAAAUUAUUAGCAAACGAUAAAACAACAACAAAAGAAACAUAACAAAAAUAUAAAAAGGAAACACAUAAUUCUCUCAACCUUCCCUGUCUCUGUUCCUCACCAAAGGAACAUUGAUCUGGGUAUAAAAAUCCAAACAAAGGGGCUGGGUUGUGGCUCAGCAGUAGAGCACUUGCCUACCAUGUGCAAGGCCCUGGGUUUGAUCCUCAGCACCACAUAAAAAUAAAUAAAUAGAAUAAAGGUAUUAAAAAAAUCCAAACAACAUUCUUUCUUUGCUUUUUAGUUGGAAGUGACUGUGGAAAUGGUGGUUCCCACUCUUAUUUUAUAUUUUGAGACAUGGUCUUGCUAAGUUACUUAGGACCUCACUAAGUUGUUGAGGCUGUCUUUGAACUUGAGAUCCUCCUGCCUCAGUCUUCUGAGUUGCUGGGAUUACAGGUGUAUACUAUCAAUACUGGUUUACACAACUAUUUAAAGUAUUAUGUCAUAUCUGUUAUGUUUUCUUAGUUAGUAUUCAAAUAGCCUCACAUUAACAGCAGAGGAGUUGAGCCAAAGUAGUUUCCUGUAUGUCUGGGAAGAGGAAAUGGCAUACAAAAACACAGGAAUGUCUUUCCCCCAGAUUAAAGAAAAGUUAAGACAUGGUCCUUGUCUUAUAGGACCUAGUAUCAAGCUGGGACAAAGGAUGGGCAUGAAUGAAACAUCAAAUAACAAAGAACAACUUCAAAUUCUGUGUCAGAGUUCUGACAAAAGUCAAAACAAAAGACUAUAGAAAUUCACAGGACCAAGAGACCAGACUGGGCCCAUGUAGUUGGCUAAAACUUUAUGGAGAAGAUAGAACUGGAAUUUGAUUUUGAAGCACUGGCAAGACUUAGCCAGAGGGAGAAAGAUGGGAAAUGUUUUUUAGGAAGGGGAAGUAGCAUAAACAAAUUGUCACAACUGGAGAAGGCCAGGGCGUCCAAAGUGUUUGCACUGGUGGAGUUCAGGCACUGAUCCAUCCUAAUGCCUGCUGUCCUGGCAGAAGAUCUCAGUGGUUGGCUUUGGGAGAGGUUCUUGUGCAGGGACUGGGGUAGAGGUAGGGCUGUAAGGCAGGGUGGAGGAGACAGCUUCCUAGCAUUUUACCCCAUUCACUGCAUGCUGAGGUGUCUCAGUGUUUUAACAACCAGAAUGGCUUCAUCAGUGCAUGUAAGCUAAACAUCUGCCCUGCAUCGGAGACUUAUGGAAACAGAGGAUGGAAAGACAAGUUGGAAUUAAAUUGGGAAGGUCUCUGAUUGCAAGGGUGUUUGGAAUAUCCAAAGCAGAGAUUGACAUUAUUUAUUUUCAGAGAUAAAGCCUAGAGCACCCUAUAUAAUAAAUAUCCAAUAAUGAAUGGUUAAAUAUAAAUAGUGAACCCAUAUAAUGGAAUUGUCUGUGAUCAUUAAGAUCCAGUUUCUGAAGACUUUUAACAACAUGGAAUGAUAUGUAUAAACUAGAAAACUAGAGAAACUAGAACAAAAAAACUAGAGAAGAAAACUAGAGUAUAAUACCAAUUUAGUAAUAAAAAUAUUAAGACUAAAAUAACAUCAAACAUAGUGGUUAUUUAAAAAUUAAUUUAAAUUGACAAAAAUAAUAUAUAUUUGUCAUGUAUGUUUUAAAAUAUAUAUAAUUAGUAUUUAUUUUUGGAUGGUAGUAUUACAUUGAUUUUUCUUUUCAUCAUUAAAUUUUCCUAUGUUUUGAAUUUUUAUAUAAUAAACCCAUAUGACUUAUAAUAAUUACUCCUCAAAAGAAAGUUUAACAUGUGGCAUGUGGCACAGUGGUGGCGGUGACUACAAUUUUCUCUUUCUUUUGUAGGUAAAUUCCAGUCUCAUUUCGGCAGUGCCCAAGAACUAAGUACCUACAUGAGUCAGUCCACAGUGGCUGAGCAUCAUCUAUCCCUGGGAUAUCAGGCUCAGUUUGCCACUGAGCAGACAACUGGAAAGCCCACCUUGUUUGUCAUCCUAUAUAGGUGAACUUGUAAUUCCAGCAACUCAACUCACAGAGUGAAUACUGAUCCAGAAAAUUGCACAGCCACCCUGGGCUUGAGCCACUGACUUGUGGGGUAUCAAGGAUUGGUCACAGAACAGUGAGAACCCAUACAGACAUGGCAUCUCAUUUCACAGACCGGAAAACCAGAAAGAGGAAGGCACUUACCCAAGGUCACACAGUGAGUAACUAUAAGUAGGGACUUGAACCUGGUCUUUGUCCUAUGCUAUGUCUUCAUCUAUCACAGUGUACCUUAGACAACUGACUUCCCUGGAUUCUGUUCAAAUCCCUCUUUUGCCUAGGUUCUAUAAGUCAGAUGUGGUUUGGAAUUAAAUUCACAGAAUCACUGCUAUUUCAUGGCUCUUCAGUUUUGUGGCUCCCUAGGUCUUCUGACAAAAUUCUGUCCUUCUUUAAAUCCAAUAUGUAAUGAAAACAUUGGC